Molecule: non-coding RNA, 351 nt
Filed under: Hemiselmis andersenii
Lineage: Eukaryota; Cryptophyceae; Cryptomonadales; Hemiselmidaceae
Source: RNAcentral
AAAAAAAAAAAAAAAAAAAAAAAAAUCAACCGCGUGCUUCUUUUGUUUAUUUCCAAUUUUUUUCUUUUUUUUUUUUUUUUAAUUUAAUCGAUAAAUCUAAAUAAUUUUUUAAAUUAAAAAAAAAUUUAUAACCUUAAACAUGGAUAAAAAAAAUGAACAAAUAAAAAAAAAUUUAGCCGUUAAAAAAAUUUUAUGGGACUUCUUUAAGAAUUUUAUGAAAAAAAAUAUCUCAAGAAUAAAAAAUUAUUACCUUAGACGCAAUUUUUUUUUUCGGAAAAGAUUUUUUAGUCUUUUUGAAAAAAUUAUGGUUCAAGAUAAUAAGUCUUUUUUUAUUAUGGACCAAAUAGAAAA